AGGACGAACGCUGGCGGCGUGCUUAACACAUGCAAGUCGAACGGAAAGGCCCUUCGGGGUACUCGAGUGGCGAACGGGUGAGUAACACGUGGGUGAUCUGCCCUGCACUUUGGGAUAAGCCUGGGAAACUGGGUCUAAUACCGAAUAUGACCAUGGGAUGCAUGUCUUGUGGUGGAAAGCUUUUGCGGUGUGGGAUGGGCCCGCGGCCUAUCAGCUUGUUGGUGGGGUUAAGGCCUACCAAGGCGACGACGGGUAGCCGGCCUGAGAGGGUGUCCGGCCACACUGGGACUGAGAUACGGCCCAGACUCCUACGGGAGGCAGCAGUGGGGAAUAUUGCACAAUGGGCGCAAGCCUGAUGCAGCGACGCCGCGUGGGGGAUGACGGCCUUCGGGUCGUAAACUGCUUUAUAAGUGAAGAAUAUGACGGUAACUUAUAGAAUAAGCACCGGCUAACUACGUGCCAGCAGCCGC
This 470-nucleotide ribosomal RNA is filed under the name uncultured bacterium. RNAcentral's name for it is "SSU rRNA". It matches the Rfam family "Bacterial small subunit ribosomal RNA", at positions 26 to 518 of the family's 1533-position model. The record is from RNAcentral.